GGCUGUUAAUCUAGAGGCUGGAGUACAAAGAAGUGGCACAAUGAUGUGGGCUGAUGACAUUUAUAAUUAUCAAGGAAUCACCCCUACAUUCGCUCAGAAUUUUAAUGAAACUGUCCCUUGGGAAGGAAGAACUGAUACCUUGAUAUCACGGUUUGUACAUCCUAUAUAUACGACAAAUUUUAGAACAUUAUAUAACGAAGAACCAGAUCGUCGUGGCCAUGUGAUGUGAAUAAAAGGACUUGAAUUUGAUGAUAUUUUUAUAAUGUUAGAUAACAUAACUAAGUAUCUUCACAGUAAGAUAGGAUGACAUGGUUUACAUGAUCUUAAUGUUGUUCACUCGAGUGAUGAUAUUAUAAGGAAAAGUGUAAUAUCACAGGAUAUUUAUGUUUAGUAACCAGUAAUUCAGAGAUUGGUAUUCAUGGUUACUAUAACGAGGCUGUAGAAACGCACCCUUUCUUCUUUGCAAAUGGUCCUGUAUUUAUGUCUAAACCGAAACUGGAACCUCUGAAUAAUUUAGAUUUAUUCUUGUUAUUUUCUAAAAUACUUAUCUACAGUAUACCAUAAGGAAUGAUACCGUAUCGCACCUAAUCAAGUGCCUUAAGAAACAUCAACAGGAUAUCACAGUAAUCCCUUAUCGAC
Molecule: long non-coding RNA, 639 nt
Organism: Bombus huntii
Lineage: Eukaryota; Metazoa; Arthropoda; Insecta; Hymenoptera; Apidae
Exons: 3
Source: RefSeq, a predicted model, not a curated record